Molecule: transfer RNA, 75 nt
Filed under: uncultured archaeon
Lineage: Archaea
Description: tRNA-Arg(acg)
Rfam family: tRNA
About the family: Transfer RNA (tRNA) molecules are approximately 80 nucleotides in length. Their secondary structure includes four short double-helical elements and three loops (D, anti-codon, and T loops).
Source: RNAcentral
GUUCCGUUCGUUCAAUGGAUAGGAUAGAGGUCUACGAAACCUCGGAUGUGGGUUCGACUCCCACAUGGAACACCA